Molecule: long non-coding RNA, 1579 nt
Organism: Neopelma chrysocephalum (saffron-crested tyrant-manakin)
Lineage: Eukaryota; Metazoa; Chordata; Aves; Passeriformes; Pipridae
Exons: 11
Source: RefSeq, a predicted model, not a curated record
AGCGCCAUCUUCCCUGAGGGGGCGUCGAGGAGAACUCAACAGCCCGAGCUGUGCGGUACAUCUUCCUGCACCUUCCUUCUAAAGUGUGCUCACGGGCAAGGCAGGGCAGCUUGCAAACUCCGUCCCAGAUUCAGUAUUAUUUGGAGACGACAUAAAACAGUGAGUUUUUUUCCGUACAGAACCACAAAACUGCAGGGGUCUCCUGGUGUCUGCGGUCGUUCGUUCACCUGCCCAAGACUCUGGAUGAAUGCACUGCCUUGGCCCCAGUUUAGGUGGCUGCACGCAAAAACUUAAUGAUGAAACAGCAAAUAGAGGAGGAAGUUCUUCAAAUCCAAAAGUCCCCAUCCCUUCCUCUGCACCGUGGAGGCUGUAGCAGAAGUGUUUCACUGGAGAAUUGUUAAAGGAGCUGGGCACUGAUGGCCUCCACGCUGUUCCCCCGCUUCAGAGGGGCCUGGCUUGGAAAGUAUUUUAUGGUCAGUGGAAAAAAAUGAGGAAGAGGAGGGUGUGGCUGCUGCUGGAAGGCUCUGGCUCUGCAGAGGGUCACUGCCUUGUGGACAUGGGACGUUCAUCAGGACAGAACGGAGCUGCCUUUUAGGAAAUGUGUGUUGAUCCUCUGAAGCCGAAUCCUCAGGCAUUUGUGGCCCGUCCUUGCAGCCCGGUCCAGCUGGAGCCCUUGGAAGCGCGUCACUCCCUGCGGAGCUGCUGCGCCAUUCCCGAGGCCUGCGGAUCCAGCGUGGAGAGCCCCAUCUCCAGCAGCCACCCAGGGAAAAGGGACUUCAGUGUGGGACAGAGCUCAGAUGUCAGUGCCCCUUCCGCCAUGGCCUAUCAGCCUGGAUGUAGUCGCCCUGUCAGAAGUAUGAAAUUUACAGCAGAAGAAUUAAUUUAACACCAAAAAAGCUCUUCCUCAUCUGAACUGUCAUUCAAAAUGCACAAUGAAAAUCACCAAGGAGAAGUUUUCUGUCCCACUGUCUGCAGGACUCCUGGAAGAAUCUUCUGAAACUUGAGGAAGUUAUCUAUUCCAAGAACUCUAAUAUACAAAGUCUUGUUAAGGUUAAAGUCUCUGCAGGCUGAAGUUCAUUUUUUGAAGAAGAAACACAGUUAACAGUAAAAUCAGUUCAUAAGUAGGAUAUUGGCAGCCUGGACGUUUCACUUCUUGCAUGUGCUCAGUUGGAAGUCAACUGAAAAUCAGCAGAAGCUUCCAGCACAUCUGUCUCAGACUGCCUUUAAGAAGAUGAAGCAGUAAUCUGGCAAAAUGAACUCAAAACACACAAGGAGGAGCCAUUGGAGACUCACCUGCAAGGUGUUCAGAUUCACUGAUAACAUGGAAACCAGAGUCUGUUACCCACUGGCUGUUCCAGAUACGAUGUCAAAGCCAACAAGGAGACUUGAAGUAGUGUGACUCAAAAAAGAAGUGUUUUGGAUCAGCAAGAAACAGUGAUGUUUUCAGUGAUGAAAAUGGCAGGACCACCGCGUUGGACCGAACUGCCCGGCAUCAUCUCAUAAAGAAUGACUUACUGGGGAACCAAGCUAGAAAAUGAAAGAAGUGAAGAUUGGUCAUCUCUGCAGAGGAAAUGACAAG